UCACAUUCUGUUUUCCUUUUUUUGCCACGCGAAUACCGGUUGGAUGGAACUGGAUAAACUCCAUAUCUUCAAGGGGCAAUCCUGCUCUGGAGGCUAUCGCAAGACCAUCUCCGGUGCAUGUAUGAGCCGCGGUGCAAGAGAGCAUCGUCCGAUCAUAAGAAGAUCAAGAGCAAAGUAUUCUACGUAAUAAUGGACGUCAUAACGUAAACUUUGCCCGUAUAAAGUGUGCAGUAUUGCGUGGCCGGUUCUGUCUGCAGCGGCGCAAGUUCUACGGGCUUGACCACCUUUUCCAAAUUUUAACGACUGACCACCGAAUGCACGCUGGUAAAUUUUUCCAUCUUCCGUACGACUGAAAGGACAGCCUAAAAUAUCAUUACAUUAUAUUUACAUUUAAGAAAAACUUUUAAUUCUGUUUGAUUUAUCGUAGACGAAUUAUUAGGUAUUUUAACAUCGUUAAAGAGAUCAUUAAAUUUGAAUUGAGAAUUUUCAAAUUUCAACGUUACGUUACGUUAAAGUUACUGUUCACUGGUGGAAAGAAGUCACGCGAGACAGGGACACAGGGGCAAGAGGAAUCCUUCGCUAGGACCGCCUAUCCCCACUUUAGACGCUUUGUUGACAAUCCUGACACCACACACUGCAUAAUAGUAGAAGAGCUAAUUUAAAUAUUCAAAAUCGUAAAAAUUAUUUUCACUUAUGAAAUUACGUUAAGGAUAAUCAUCUAAGAUUGGAAACUGAAAUAUUUUCGAAAUUAUUAAUUAUUUUGAUAUAAUAUUAAUAUAUCUAUGGUAUAUACAUAUGUUAGAAUUCUGGAUUCUAUGCCUACGCAUUGCAAAUGCUAAUGCAUUGAGAUUUAGAUCGUCGUUUUUGAUUAAUAUAUAUGACGAAUAUCACGGUAAAAAUAAAAAUGAAUGUGAAAAUAGGCAUUUCCUUUCGCGAGACUUCUUAUCAAUUCCAGUGAACAGUAAUUUGGUUGAUGAUAUAUAUAUACAUAUGUUCAUAUCAUGUCUUUCAUUAUCUUUUUUAAUUUCUCAAUUUCUCGCCUUUCGCAAGAAUUUUGUAAUGUUGAUAUCCAUUUUAUAAAAUUACCGUAAUUUUCAAGUUCGUAGACGGCUCGUGCUGCCUCUCUCGCUAGAAAAUGUAUCGCAUCCUGAUCUCCUAACCAAUCAGAUCCUUUAACGGUAUCGUACAUGUGAUAAAGCCAAUUAUCAUCCUUAUCGUUAUUAAGGACGGCAUUUAUUCCUCCCUGAGCGGCCACGGUAUGAGAUCUCGUUGGAAAUAAUUUUGUAACCACUGCCACUCUGUACCCUUUACUUCCUAUUUAACAAAGAAUUUAAAGUUGAAAUUGAAAGGUCGAGAAAAAAAGAAUAAUAUUGUUAUCUCGAUUUAGUUUUGAAAUCACGCGAUUUGUAAUAAAGUUACCUAAACCAAAGGCGGCUCUCAAUCCUGCACCACCCGCGCCCACAACCACAACAUCGUAACAAUGAUCUAUCACGGGAUAAUUCUGUAAAAAAAAACAUAUAAGAUAUUAAAAUAAUUCAUAAUUGAUAAAUAGCGUAGAUUCGAUAAAAUGAUAGAAUGGAAAUGGGAAAUUUGUAUUUAAAAUUCUUUACAUUCGUGUCUGUACCACAUUGCACUUUUUCCUGACCUGGACUGAAGUUUACGUGAAAAUACCGACCACUUUUCUGCUUCAGAUACUGGGUUUGCGAAGGAAAUCGCUGGAAGAAAAGCGGAAAAGUAAAAAUCAAGUUUAUUCGUCGAAGGGAAAAAUCAAUAUUUCUGAUAAUUACAUUACUCCUUGCGAUAAAUCGCGGCAAAUGAUUCACGGAUCGCAACAUUAUUUCUUGAAGUUCGUGUAUGCGGUAUGAAGUAUAAUUAACGUGAACAAGGUGAUAUUCGUUUGCUUGUCAUUUAAUAAAAGAAGUAAAACGGUGAAUCAUGACUGUUUUCAAGGAGUACCAGGAGAUAGUUGUAAAAGUAGCACAGUAGGUACUCGUAUUUCGUACAAGCAUAACUUUAUUGCACUUGCAAAAAUACAGUUCAAAACAUAGACAAUUUGUUACGUUAUUAAGAUAGUAUACAAUUAGUUUGGUUUAUAUCUCUUUGCUAAUCGGUUCGAUUUUUCACUUUGGUAUUCGUUGGACACCAGAGAAUGGAUAAGUAGUAACGAAUCGCUUUUAUCAUAUAGGAUAUAUUAAACGUUAUUUCGGCAGAUUUUGUAGCGGCUAUUAUUUCAGCUUUCAUUCUUCUUUUAAUAAAAAUCUUACGUUGUUAUUUAUCUUGUUAUUAUAUUAAAAAAAAAAAAACGGUGCAUUUGGUUACUCACCCGUAAUUUGUUAACUUUAGCAAUGAUUUAACCGAUUGUUAUUUGAGCGCGAAAAUUGUACUAGCAAUUCGCCUAUUCCUAAUAAAUACUUUUUUUAAACUUACGCUACGGUCGUUUUGUUACACA
Apis cerana (Asiatic honeybee) is the source of this 2449-nucleotide long non-coding RNA. RefSeq lists it as uncharacterized. NCBI's taxonomy places the organism in Eukaryota, Metazoa, Arthropoda, Insecta, Hymenoptera, Apidae. The record is from RefSeq and is a predicted model, not a curated record.